Molecule: long non-coding RNA, 451 nt
Organism: Peromyscus maniculatus bairdii (prairie deer mouse)
Lineage: Eukaryota; Metazoa; Chordata; Mammalia; Rodentia; Cricetidae
Source: RefSeq, a predicted model, not a curated record
AGCAAUUCUCCAUAACUGCUUCAAGCUGAAACAGGGUGCAGGUGGUCAGGACUCUGGCUAGUCAAAGAAUGUUGAUGUCAAACUCUUUCAACCAAUUGCAGCUGGCAUUGACAGAAGAGCCGAGUUCCCCCUCUAAGGUGCACGCGAUUGUGAUAGAGAAUGUUCAUGAUUGCCUCACCCUUGUGCACCGCAAGAAGGUGUGUAUGGAUUGACUUAUAGAGAAGCAAGCUUGGAAAGAAAAAUGCAGAUGGCGGCCCCAGGGGGUCAGAGUCCUGGGUCCAGAAUUUUCAAAGAGAAGAAAACUACAUUCCAGAAAGACUCUACAUCUCUCAACGUGAAGAUUUUCUGCUCAUUGUCUCACUAUAAUACAUCUGUGCCCUGUAAAAGCCAUUUACGAUACUGAUGCCCCUGAGAAGAUGGAAAAGUCUCCUCUGUUUUCCUCAGUGCUAGC